Non-coding RNA from Salmo salar (Atlantic salmon), 4138 nucleotides. The record is from RefSeq and is a predicted model, not a curated record. NCBI's taxonomy places the organism in Eukaryota, Metazoa, Chordata, Actinopteri, Salmoniformes, Salmonidae.
UACAUUUGCUAACAUUUCUAAAAACCUGUUUUUGCUUCGUCAUUAUUGGGUAUUGUGUGUAGAUUGAUGAGGAAAACAUUUAAUUUAAUAAAUUUUAGAAUAAGUCAAGGGGUCUGAAUACUUUCCAAAUGCACCAUACAUCAGCCUGGCAGCAGAGUUGGGGCUCUUGGUGAUUUUACAUCCAGGACCCUACAUCUGUCCUGAUAUCUGUUCGCAGAGAGGUUCGUAGUUUGAAGAGGGAGGCCCCAUCAUUGCAGUUCAAGUGGAGAAUGAGUACGGCUCAUAUGCAAAGGAUGAACGAUACAUGCCUUUUAUAAUGGAGUUAAUGUGAUACUGUACUGUUUCUCACUAUCUGCAUAAUUCUAUAUGCCCAGUAUAGACUUUUGCAGUGACCUCUAAAUGUAUAGUGAAACUGUAUCUCCUUUGGCCAGCUCUAUCAUCCAGAGGGAUCAAUGAAGUCCUGCUGACAUCAGACAAUCGGGAGGGGCUAUGUUUUUUUUCUUGACCCCUCCUCUCUUAAGUUCCCAAGACGGUUAACCUUCAAAGACUGGCAAACGGAACAAUGUAAUAUUUAGUGUACAUGCAGGUAUAGUGCCAAUGAGUCUGUAUUUUCUUCUAUUUUGUCUUGCAUCUGUGAAAACAUAGUGGUUCAAAGACUAAGUGCGACUUUGCCCUUACUGUAGCCCCAGAAACCUCUGCUUGUAAUGGAGUACUGGUUUGGGUGGUUCGAUGUCUGGAGUGAAUCUCACCAUGUGUUUCCAGCAGAGGAUUAUGAUGCUUCGUUAUCUGAGGCUUUACACCACCAAGUAUCAGCUCUUGAGGAAUUUAUUCAGCCAGUUUCACAAUGAGAAGCUUCCUGAGGUUCCCUCCCUCCAGGCCAGGAGAGUGUAUGAGCCUGUCAUCAUUCAGAAGCAUCUGUCACUGUGGGAGAGCCUGCAGUUUACUGACAAGCCCUUGAAGUCAGAGGGGCCUGUCAACAUGGAGAACAGUAACAAUGGUCAGUCCUAUGGCUACACUCAAUAUGAGACCACCAUCAGCAGCGGAGGCCUUCUGAACUCCAAGACAAAUUUUUGAGACUGAGCCCUGGUGAGUACAGACAGACACAGCGACAUGGCAUGAAUUUACUACAGUAAAUGGUGCACACUGUAUGACAAUACAUCAUUUGUACUAAUAAAGUUGGCUUGUCUUCUAGGUGUUUGUAGACAGACACUUUGUUAGAGUUUUGGACUAUAAGAUCGUGGAGAUUACACUGCCUGAUGGGAAAGGUAUAGUGAUACUUUGUGUUUAGAUGCAGGCUAUAGGUGUGCUGCUCAGCUGCUUUCAAAACUGGCUAGUUAAUAUUCAACACCAUGUUAGAGGUGAAAGCUUCUGGUGAUGCUGAUAAAUGCAUUUGUCACUAAGGUGCUAGGAUUAUUCCAACAGAAAGUUUUCAGACAAAUGUUGUUCUGACAAAGAGGAAUCACAAUCACUAACUUUUCUCCUGCCUGGAAAAAACAAGUCCAUGCUGCUUAACCUAUAGCACAGCGGAAGAUUGGACAUGAUCAAUUACUCUCUGCAGUCCAACUGAAAGCCACGUUUCCUAUAUUGUCUCUGUGUCCUAUGCACUGUUGACUGCAGUGCUUCAAUUAGUGGUUUCCACAUGUUUUAUGUAUUUUCCAUUGAAGGGGGAGAGAACAUUGAGUUUACUUAUGGAGAACUAUGGAAGAGUGAAUUAUGGGAAAGCCCUGGAUGAUCAGCGAAAAGGUAUUCUAUUCUUAGUUGCUACCACUUCAACAAUCCGAAUUCCAAGGCAGAAAGCAUACAUUGAAGGCACUGUAGACCUUUGUGUGUAAUCCUUUAUUGCUGUGACAUCAGUUUAUAGUCGUUAAAGUGGAUAGACCUGAAUGCUCAACAACAGUAUCCAUGAGGUCUUGGAAUAAUUGUAUUGUAUUGAUACUCGCCCAUUCAGCUCUUAAUCUUUAGUCACAUAUCACCCUGUUCUUGGUCUGGUGGGAGACAUUGGUUUGAACCACGUGCCUCUAAAGGGCUUUACAAUCUACUGUUUGGAUAUGAAGCCAAACUUCCUAAAGAGGUUUGUCCUGAUCAUUUAAUUUAUACAACACUAACUUCCAUUCUGGCUCUUACAGUUUGUCAUUUGUUGUCAAUGCAAGUUUAACUGGCAUAUCAGGUUGUCUUAAAGGCCCAGUGCAUUCAUAAAUGUGAUUUUCCUGUGUUUUAUAUAUAUUUCCACACUAUGAGGUUGGAAUAAUACUGCAAAAUUGUGAAAAUUAACAUAAUGCCCUUUUAGUGUAAGAGCUGUUUGAAAAUACCUCCUGAAAUUUCAGCCUGUUUUGGUGGAAUGGAGUUUUGGCCUUACAUGGUGAUAUCACCAUAUGGUAAAUUAGUUAAUAGACCAAUAAGAAAGAGAGUUCCAAACCUCUGCCAAUAACAGCUCAUUUUCAGUUUUCCCCUCCUCACUCAGACCACUCCCAGACAGUCCUAGCAAAAUUGUUGUUUGAGAAAUAGCCCUUUGCUAAGAAACAAUUGAUGUUACUUUUUUUAUUGAAAAUAAUCACAGUAAGGUACUUAAUUGUUACCCAGAAAUUAUUUGAUAUUGAGAUGAAAAUGGCUGCAUUGGACCUUUAAAGUUUAGAUGACUCAUAUUGUAGCUCUGCCCCAUAUUAUUUAAAUGGGGAAUCUCCUCCCAUGUUUCAGAUUGAGUGCAGCAAACCAGUGGAACUCUGUCCCCCAGAAGCCUUCCUUCCCAGGGUUCUUCCAGGGCAGGCUGUAUGUGGACGGUCAUCCCAGAGACACCUUCAUCCCAGAGACACAAGCAUUUCACUACACUCGCAUUAACAUCUGCUAACCAUGUGUAUCUGACCAAUAACAUUUGAUUUGAUUUGAUCAGAGUGCCUGUGUGUAAAGUAGCUCAACAGGCUUUGUGGUUAUGAGAGAGAGCACCACCUGUCCAUAUUGUAUCCCUGCUGGUUUAUUCGUAUAGUAUAGUAGACCUAUCUCUGGUUUAUUGGUGUACUGUAUAUUGUAGUAGGCCCAUCCCUCAUCAGACACACAUACAGUAGUGAUAAAAUAUGUUCUUAGAGAAACUCUUAACUCUCAGUGUCAAGUCACUGAUUACAGUGUUUCCAUCCACAGGGUUGGAGUAAAGGAGUGGUCUUUAUCAACGGGCAGAAUCUUGGACGCCACAGGUCCAUCGUUCACCAGCAAACCCUUUACCUCCCUGGACCUUGGCUUAAAAGUGGAAAUAAUCAGAUCAUCGUGUUCGAGAAACAUAAAGAUGAUAAUACAUUUGUUUUUGUUGAAAAUCCUGAUCAUGGAAAAACAAUUGAUGUAUACAAACAUCCAUUUUGUGUUCUGCUUUGAAAUUAUCAAUAUUUAAAUAAAACGAUGACACAGCAAGUUAUUAUAAUAUAGUAAUAACAUGGUAAAAUACAAAGCUAUGAUUACCGUAACACACUGUAUGUAUGUAAUGUUGUUUUUGUGUUAUGGGAUGGGUCUACCACUGAAUGUGAUAAUAGACAUGUAUUUAUAUGUAGCCUAGAACACAGUCAUAAGGCAAGUUACAUACAUUGAAAAACAAGACAUUUAGUGUUCGAAUGCAGACUAUUACAACAAAGAAAGGUGAGAUGGACGAGAUAAAGGACAACGAAGUUCAAAGGUCCUCAAGGUCAAAUGCAGGUGUGUGAAACAUUCCAGUUUCAGUGCCUCACUAUUUGUCCGGAUAGGCAGUGUUAUUGUCUAUCUAAAUUGAAAUAUAGAUAAAUAAACACACCACUUGAAUUCACAAAUAUUUGUGUCUUGGGUACUGUUACACAUAAUUUAGCUGUAAGGUUGACUAAAAAGGUAUUUAUUAUAUUUACAUGAACACAAUAUAGUUUGUAGCACAUCUUAUGCUCAUCUUGAAUGGUAAAGCUCUAGUUAUUAAUGCAUGUUAUUAAUCAUGUUAUUUAUUAUAAGAUUAUUAAAGAUAAGAAUGUAGUUUACAGUAGGAGAAUAACAAUCUGGCACGGCCCUUCCUGUAGGGGGGCUUUUUUUUAUAUCAUUGAAUUAAAUAUUUCUUAUCACAGAUUAUCCAUUAUAUUGACCUCUGUUUAUUAUCUAUCCUGAUUGCCUAGCCACUUUUACCCCUACCUAAACUCAG